This 553-nucleotide ribosomal RNA is filed under the name uncultured fungus. Its description in RNAcentral is "eukaryotic LSU rRNA". The stretch from base 177 to 330 matches the Rfam family "5.8S ribosomal RNA". Lineage: Eukaryota; Fungi. The record is from RNAcentral.
CUUGGUCAUUUAGAGGAAGUAAAAGUCGUAACAAGGUUUCCGUAGGUGAACCUGCGGAAGGAUCAUUAGUGAACGCCCUCACGGGCUUAUAACUAUUCCAAACCUCUGUGAACCGUGCCCUUCGGGGCUAUUUUACAAACAUGGUGUAAUGAACGUCAUAUAUCAUAACAAAACAAAACUUUCAACAACGGAUCUCUUGGCUCUCGCAUCGAUGAAGAACGCAGCGAAAUGCGAUAAGUAAUGUGAAUUGCAGAAUUCAGUGAAUCAUCGAAUCUUUGAACGCACCUUGCGCCCUCUGGUAUUCCGGAGGGCAUGCCUGUUUGAGUGUCAUGUAGACUCAAUCCCUCGGGUUUCCGAGGAGAUUGGACUUGGGUGUUGCCGCUCUGCCGGCUCGCCUUAAAAGACUUAGCGGGAUAGCACCGUAGUCGGCGUAAUAAGUUUCGUCGGUGAAGGUUGUGAUGACUGCUUACAAUCGCCCUCGGGCAAUUUUUGACUCUGACCUCAAAUCAGGUAGGGAUACCCGCUGAACUUAAGCAUAUCAAUAAGCGGAGGA